GGCUGGGUAGCUCAGUUGGUAGAGCAGGGGACUGAAAAUCCCUGUGUCAGGGGUUCGACUCCCUUCCCAGCCACCA
RNAcentral lists this transfer RNA (76 nucleotides) under Atopobiaceae bacterium. Its description in RNAcentral is "tRNA-Phe". It matches the Rfam family "tRNA". Rfam says of the family: Transfer RNA (tRNA) molecules are approximately 80 nucleotides in length. Their secondary structure includes four short double-helical elements and three loops (D, anti-codon, and T loops). The record is from RNAcentral. Lineage: Bacteria; Bacillati; Actinomycetota; Coriobacteriia; Coriobacteriales; Atopobiaceae.